AAUAAUAUCAUAAAAAUUUCUCAUAGUGGUACAUGUGAAGAAGUGUGAUACUUACAAUGGGUAAAGAAGGAAUAGAAUUUUUAAUAGACAUUAUUGCAUCAAAACAACUUGCAGCAUAAUCUCCUCUUGAUACACCAACGGACAACAAAAACUGAAUGCCUUCAGACCUACUCAUAUGGCCACAAUCAUCCAGAUUUAAAUGCAUUAAAUGGAAUGGCAUAAAAAAACUUGCAGUAUAGUAUCCAUGAUUGUUCAAGUAUUGAGUAUUAGCUGGACCAAUGCCUGGAAUGCUGGAAACUGGUCUCCUUGUAUUAUUAGAUGCUGCAAAUGCAAUUUGUUUUUGUGUAGCCAUUAUAGAAAUCACAAUAUUCAGAACCUUUACUAAUAAAAUAACGCAGAUUGUACCAUUA
This is a long non-coding RNA of Aethina tumida (small hive beetle), 410 nucleotides long. RefSeq lists it as uncharacterized. The record is from RefSeq and is a predicted model, not a curated record. The transcript is spliced from 3 exons. NCBI's taxonomy places the organism in Eukaryota, Metazoa, Arthropoda, Insecta, Coleoptera, Nitidulidae.